Molecule: long non-coding RNA, 759 nt
Filed under: Homo sapiens (human)
Lineage: Eukaryota; Metazoa; Chordata; Mammalia; Primates; Hominidae
Description: HSALNT0325662
Source: RNAcentral
AUACACCCUGAAAGAAACUGCAGUUGUGGAGGUUCAACAUGUCCUCUGUCAAGAUACAGUGAUCUGAUUGCCAGAAGAGGAAACUGGUAUAGAUCCUGAGGGCAAGCAAUGUUUUUAUUAUUAACCGCUUUGGGAUUUAUCUUGGUUAUCUCAUGAGCUGAAAAAAAAGAAGUCCCUAUUCUUACAACAAGAAAAGCCUUGUUCAGGCUGUAAAGUAAUGGCUUUUCUAACCCAGAUGAAAACAGGUCAAAGGAUAAACGACCAUCCAAAAUUCUGAGGAGACAUAGGCACAUCCAGGGAGACAGAGGAGUCAAACAGUUGCUAACCUUGGACAGAGGCUGCUAGAUACCAAGAAAGCCCGCCAGAAUAUCGAAGAAACACUGAUAAUUCCUUGGAAGUUGAACAUUAGUAUGGGGCUACGGUAAUGGGCUUUCCACCCAUUUGAAUGCUUUUUUCUCUAGAAACACCAUGAGGCUUUUACAGGGGGGAUCUGAGAGAAUCCAGAGAAUGUUUCCCUUGUCUUACUAGUUGGGGAGGGAAAGACCAGACACCGUAAAGUCCAUCCAGAUCCCACUGCCAUGUGAAACAAAGGCUUAAUCAGCAGUGGGAAGGGCCAGAAGAAUGCAGACUAACAGUACUAGAGGAUAUUUUUUGCAGCUAGUAAAAGGAAGAUGGAGCAGGAGACACUGUGACAGGUAGCUUAAUGUUACUCCAUACAUUUCAUAUAAACUCACUUUCACUUAUUUAUGUCACGAGUGC